GCCUAGGGAUCUGCCCAGUCGAGGGGGAUAACAGUUGGAAACGACUGCUAAUACCGCAUACGCCCUACGGGGGAAAGGAGGGGACCUUCGGGCCUUUCGCGAUUGGAUGAACCUAGGUGGGAUUAGCUAGUUGGUAAGGUAAUGGCUUACCAAGGCGACGAUCCCUAGCUGUUCUGAGAGGAUGAUCAGCCACACUGGGACUGAGACACGGCCCAGACUCCUACGGGAGGCAGCAGUGGGGAAUCUUGCGCAAUGGGCGAAAGCCUGACGCAGCGACGCCGCGUGCGGGAAGAAGGCCUU
RNAcentral lists this ribosomal RNA (300 nucleotides) under uncultured Shewanella sp. RNAcentral describes it as "bacterial SSU rRNA". It matches the Rfam family "Bacterial small subunit ribosomal RNA", at positions 115 to 418 of the family's 1533-position model. Lineage: Bacteria; Pseudomonadati; Pseudomonadota; Gammaproteobacteria; Alteromonadales; Shewanellaceae. The record is from RNAcentral.